CCUACGGGUGGCAGCAGUGAGGAAUAUUGGUCAAUGGCCGGAAGGCUGAACCAGCCAAGCCGCGUGAAGGACGAAGGUGCCAAGCAUUGUAAACUUCUUUUGUCAAGGGAUAAAAUCAGGCUCGAGAGCCUGACCGAGGGUACUUUAAGAAAAAGCAUCGGCUAACUCCGUGCCAGCAGCCGCGGUAAUACGGAGGAUGCGAGCGUUAUCCGGAUUUAUGUGGUUUAAAGGGUGCGGAGGUGGACUGUUAAGUCAGUGGUGAAGGCCCGGGGCUCAACCCCGGCGAGGCAGUUGAACCUGGCAGUCUGGAGUGCAGGAGAGGUAGGAGGAAUGCGCGGUGUAGCGGUGAAAUGCUUAGAUAUCGCGAAGAACACCGAUUGCGAAGGCGGCAUACCGGCGGCCAACUGACGCUGAGGCACGAAAGCGUGGGUAUCGAACAGGAUUAGAUACCCGAGUAGUC
This 460-nucleotide ribosomal RNA is filed under the name uncultured bacterium. Its description in RNAcentral is "partial 16S ribosomal RNA". It matches the Rfam family "Bacterial small subunit ribosomal RNA", at positions 338 to 795 of the family's 1533-position model. The record is from RNAcentral.